CUGUGAAUAUACAAAGGUAGAAAGAGUAGAAUUAGAACCGCCAAACACUAGUUCGGUCUGUUUCGAGUCGAGAUCGGCUGGUUUCGCUUUGCAACUCCUUAAUACGUGUCUAUUCAAAUGCGUUGUGCUCGAGCCAGGCUUCCAACUAAGUUCUUUGCCACAGUAAUUGCAACAUGCUUUCCAAAUAUCUACUCCAUUUUGAACACCAAUUUUUUUUCGUGUCAUAUGUUGCCAACAGUCCGAUGAUUCUUUUUUUGACAUUUUU
Molecule: long non-coding RNA, 265 nt
Filed under: Olea europaea (common olive)
Lineage: Eukaryota; Viridiplantae; Streptophyta; Magnoliopsida; Lamiales; Oleaceae
Description: long non-coding RNA (OEUR_LNC010019)
Source: RNAcentral